CCUACGGGUGGCAGCAGUGGGGGAUAUUGCACAAUGGGGGGAACCCUGAUGCAGCGACGCCGCGUGUGGGAAGACGGUCCUCUGGAUUGUAAACCACUGUCCCCAGGGACGAAAAUGACGGUACCUGGGGAGGAAGCUCCGGCUAACUAAGUGCCAGCAGACGCGGUAAUACGGAGGGGGCGAGGGUUGUCCGGAAUUACUGGGGGAAAAGGGAGCGUAGGCGGGGAUGCAAGUUGGGUGGCAAAACUACCGGCACAACUGGUAGUCGCACUCAAAACUGUAGCUCUUGAGUGAAGUAGAGGCAGGCGGAAUUCCUAGUGUAGCGGUGAAAUGCGUAGAUAUUAGGAGGAACACCAGUUGCGAAGGCGGCCUGCUGGGCUUUUACUGACGCUGAUGCUCGAAAGUGUGGGGAGCAAACAGGAUUAGAUACCCUAGUAGUC
Molecule: ribosomal RNA, 440 nt
Filed under: uncultured bacterium
Lineage: Bacteria
Description: partial 16S ribosomal RNA
Rfam family: Bacterial small subunit ribosomal RNA
Source: RNAcentral